CCCCUAGUAACUGCGAGUGAAGCGGGAAGAGCUCAAAUUUAAAAUCUGGCAGUCUUCUGGCUGUCCGAGUUGUAAUCUGGAGAAGCGUUUUCUGUGUUGGACCGUGUACAAGUCUCCUGGAACGGAGCGUCAUAGAGGGUGAGAAUCCCGUCCAUGGCACGGACUACCAAUACUUUGUGAUACGCUCUCGAAGAGUCGAGUUGUUUGGGAAUGCAGCUCAAAAUGGGUGGUAAAUUCCAUCUAAAGCUAAAUACAGGCGAGAGACCGAUAGCAAACAAGUACCGUGAGGGAAAGAUGAAAAGCACUUUGAAAAGAGAGUUAAACAGUACGUGAAAUUGUUGAAAGGGAAACGCUUGAAGUCAGUCGCGUUGUGCAGAACUCAGCCUUGCCUCGGCUUGGUGUACUUUCUGCAGAACGGGUCAACAUCAAUUUUGACCCAUGGAAAAAGGUGUGGGGAAUGUAGCAUUGCUUUGGCAGUGUGUUAUAGCCCCUCUGCUGUAUACAUGGGUUGGGAUUGAGGAACGCAGCACGCCCUUGUGGCCGGGGGUUCGCCUCACGUCACUGUGCUUAGGAUGUUGGCAGAAUGGCUUUAAGCGACCCGUCUUGAAACACGGACCAAGGAGUCUAACAUGCUUGCGAGUGUUCGGGUGGAAAACCCUUGUGCGUAAUGAAAGUGAAAGUUGGGACCCUCCGCAAGGGGGAGCACCGACGCCCGGCCCUGACGUUCUCUGACGGUGCUGCGGUAGAGCAAGUAUGCUGGGACCCGAAAGAUGGUGAACUAUGCCUGAAUAGGGCGAAGCCAGAGGAAACUCUGGUGGAGGCUCGUAGCGAUUCUGACGUGCAAAUCGAUCGUCAAAUUUGGG
Molecule: ribosomal RNA, 863 nt
Filed under: Fomitiporia norbulingka
Lineage: Eukaryota; Fungi; Basidiomycota; Agaricomycetes; Hymenochaetales; Hymenochaetaceae
Description: LSU rRNA
Rfam family: Eukaryotic large subunit ribosomal RNA
Source: RNAcentral